AAACUCUUCUGGACUCUGCCAGUCCAAACCUUGCCCACCAGAUGAAUUGAUACCUGUAUAGAGUCUGUAAACAUCCAAGCACCUUUGUGAGGAAAGCUCAUGAUCUUGUGACAAAAAACUUCACCAACAGACACAGGAGCGAUCUGUUACAAUGACCCAAAUGAACAAAAGUGGUUGUAAUUGAGCUGAUGAAGAGAAAUCAUUCCCAGAGAGAGAGAGAGAGAGACAGACAGAC
Mauremys reevesii (Reeves's turtle) is the source of this 235-nucleotide long non-coding RNA. RefSeq lists it as uncharacterized. The transcript has 3 exons. Lineage: Eukaryota; Metazoa; Chordata; Testudines; Geoemydidae. The record is from RefSeq and is a predicted model, not a curated record.